This is a long non-coding RNA of Oncorhynchus tshawytscha (Chinook salmon), 1119 nucleotides long. The record is from Ensembl. NCBI's taxonomy places the organism in Eukaryota, Metazoa, Chordata, Actinopteri, Salmoniformes, Salmonidae.
AAAGAGUAGAAAGCAGCCAGUAACCCACUCGUUAUUAAAAGCCUUUCUUUUUCAAUCAUUUUAUACAGAUUAAAAACCGAUGGGGAGGACAACAACAGGGAGGAACAGUACAGUACACAUUUAAAUCAACAAAUAAGUAAAUGACAGACACAUUAGUCAUUAACAAAUGGAAGUAAUGAGGCGUAGUAACGUUGCUUUAAAAAAGCCAGUAGAAUAGAAAAGAUGAGUCUGUGUUUUGCGGAGGCGGGGCGUCGCUGUGUGGUAAAAUAGGCUAGUGUAUGUCGUCGUAGCUCUGAUUCCCAUAAGAGGUUAAGUAAUUCAUAACCCUGCCGUGUUCGAGAACACCAACAACCCUCCUUGUGUCUCGUAACGAUGCCAAGGUGCCCAGAACUCAGCAUGCACAGAAGGGCUUCUUCUCAAUCACGCCGAAAAUGAUCGGACUGGUAUCCAGCGUGAGGUGGCGCUACGGGGAGCCCGGAACACUACUUGUAGAGCUCCAAUUUGGUUCGAGCUACACAGUGGUUUUAUUACGCCUCAGAUGGAUAAUCACAUGACUACAGAGAGACGUGAUGUGGGGCAGUAUAACGUAGUGUUUUUACAGAGGCUUCGAUUCGAUGGGCUGUAACACAAUGCCUCUACAAAGACAGUAUGGACUUCUGGGAGUUAAAGUAAGAGGGACACAGUGAAGAGCUACAGUUUUCUGCUGCACUGUUCCAUGUAUCGUUAUAUCAGUCUGCCAAACUACCUGCUACAGCGGUGUAAUCAUUCGUUCCACCUACUCUCUCCUACCUCCAGUAUUGUCCAAAACACACAAAACAUUUACAGAGCCUUCAGAAAGUAUUCAUACCCCUUGACUUAUUCCACAUUUUGUUGUUACAGCCUGUAUAAGAAAUACACACUUUUCCCCCCUGACCCAUUUACUCACAAUACCUCAAUGACAAAGUGAACUAAAUGUUUUUAGAAAUGUUAGCAAAUGUAUUGAAAGUGAAAUACAAAAAUAUCUCAUUUAAGUAUUCACACCGCUUGAGUCAAUGUUAGAAUUGCCUUUGGCAGCGAUUACAGUCUUUCUUGGUAAGUCUCUGAGAGCCUUGCACACCUGGAUAGGAUUUUGCCUGAACA